This 263-nucleotide unclassified non-coding RNA is filed under the name plant metagenome. RNAcentral describes it as "partial contains small subunit ribosomal RNA, internal transcribed spacer 1, and 5.8S ribosomal RNA". The record is from RNAcentral.
UUUCCGUAGGUGAACCUGCGGAAGGAUCAUUAUUGUAUAACCGAGGUGCGAGUGCUGUCGCUGACCCGAAAGGUCGUGCACGCCCGAGUGCCCUCACACACGUCCAUGUCACCCCUAUGUGCACCACCGCGUGAGUCCCCCUUUGGCUUGUUCGGAGGGGGGCUUACGUUUUCACACAAACUUUGUAUGCAGUGUAGAAUGUAUUUUUUGUUUUUGCGAUCACGCAAUCAAUACAACUUUCAACAACGGAUCUCUUGGCUCUC